Molecule: ribosomal RNA, 253 nt
Filed under: uncultured bacterium
Lineage: Bacteria
Description: partial 16S ribosomal RNA
Rfam family: Bacterial small subunit ribosomal RNA
Source: RNAcentral
UACGUAGGGUGCAAGCGUUAAUCGGAAUUACUGGGCGUAAAGCGUGCGCAGGCGGUUAUGUAAGACAGAUGUGAAAUGCCCGGGCUUAACCUGGGAACUGCAUUUGUGACUGCAUGGCUAGAGUUUGGCAGAGGGGGGUAGAAUUCCACGUGUAGCAGUGAGAUGCGUAGAUAUGUGGAGGAACACCGGUGGCGAAGGCGGGUCUCUGGGCAUCUCCUGACGCUGAGGCGCGAAGGCCAGGGGAGCAAACGGG